GGGAUGAAAUUCAGCUUUUACAUGAAGAUGGUGAGGGACAGUGGUUGGUGAAAAACCUAAACAGAAGAAAAGAAGGCUGGAUUCCUGUCCACAGUCUGCAGAUAGUAGUUGGUGACUGCAGAUUCCGGAAUGCCAAAGUCGCAGAUGCUGCCCUGUGUAACACGAGAAAGUUUAGUUCCCCUUGAAUUAAGGGUGAACUAGCAGCAUCCUAUUUUCGAUGCUCUUUGGAAGCUUUCAGCUAAGUGUUACAGAGAAAUAGCACAAUAGUUGGAGUUGUCCUGUACUAUUCAUCACAUUCACAGACCUCCACAGCUUCAUCUGCACUGAACGGGACUGGGGUCCUAAGCAGCUUCUCAUAGUCAUAAAGGAAGCCAUUCUCUGCUCUUUCUUUUUUUUCCUCUUAUGGAAAGUACAGUAUUUUAUUAUUUUUUCCUGCUGUUUUUCCAUGACAUCCAUCACGUUUCAUCAGAGAAGUACACUACAGUUUCCUGACACUUUGUUUAGAUGCUUGAAAUUUCCUCUACAGGUUGGAGGCUUUACCUACUUACUAGCUGACAACUGUUGAAGUUGCAAAUAAAAGAGUUGAGUUUUGGUAAACCAAAAAAAAAAAAAAAAGAAACCAAGCAAAGAAGCUGUAUGUCACGCUUAAUUGAUUUAUUGAUUUUAUGGAUGGAUUUUUCUUAAAUAUCUACUUCAGCUAUGUGAAUGUAAUGUUCUGUAAGAGCAUCAUCUGGCUGACUCACGUGCGAAGAUGCAAUAACGCUAAAGAUCCUCUUUUUGCACUUAGGGUCUGACUCCAGCCCAUCGCAGUCAGUCCCAUUGAUUUCGGUGAGGUUUGGAUCAGGUCAAACUGACAACUCAGGGUUGUCGCCAAUCCCUUAGGGUCCCAAAGCGUCCCGAGGCUGAAACCUGUAUCUAGCAAGUGUUGAAGUUUACAUUAAAUGUCUGUACUUUUGGAA
This is a long non-coding RNA of Phaethon lepturus (White-tailed tropicbird), 959 nucleotides long. RefSeq lists it as uncharacterized. NCBI's taxonomy places the organism in Eukaryota, Metazoa, Chordata, Aves, Phaethontiformes, Phaethontidae. The transcript is spliced from 3 exons. The record is from RefSeq and is a predicted model, not a curated record.